UACUGAGGGAGCUAGCGUUGUUCGGAAUUACUGGGCGUAAAGCGCGCGUAGGCGGCUUUGUAAGUUAGAGGUGAAAGCCCGGGGCUCAACCCCGGAGCUGCCUUUAAGACUGCAUCGCUUGAAUCCGGGAGAGGUGAGUGGAAUUCCGAGUGUAGAGGUGAAAUUCGUAGAUAUUCGGAAGAACACCAGUGGCGAAGGCGGCUCACUGGACCGGUAUUGACGCUGAGGUGCGAAAGCGUGGGGAGCAAACAGG
RNAcentral lists this ribosomal RNA (253 nucleotides) under uncultured bacterium. Its description in RNAcentral is "partial 16S ribosomal RNA". It matches the Rfam family "Bacterial small subunit ribosomal RNA", at positions 524 to 776 of the family's 1533-position model. The record is from RNAcentral.